GGGGAUAUAGCUCAGUGGCAGAGCACUUGCCUAGCAUACAUGAGGCCUUGGGUUCAAACCCCCAUACCA
This 69-nucleotide transfer RNA is filed under the name Heterocephalus glaber (naked mole-rat). It matches the Rfam family "tRNA". Rfam says of the family: Transfer RNA (tRNA) molecules are approximately 80 nucleotides in length. Their secondary structure includes four short double-helical elements and three loops (D, anti-codon, and T loops). The record is from Rfam by way of RNAcentral. Lineage: Eukaryota; Metazoa; Chordata; Mammalia; Rodentia; Bathyergidae.